GGUUAAGUGACUAAGCGUACACGGUGGAUGCCUGGGCAGUCAGAGGCGAUGAAGGACGUACUAACUUGCGAUAAGCGCAGAUAAGGCAGUAAGAGCCGUUUGAGUCUGCGAUUUCCGAAUGGGGAAACCCAACUGCAUAAGCAGUUACUGUUAACUGAAUACAUAGGUUAACAGAGCAAACCGGGGGAACUGAAACAUCUAAGUACCCCGAGGAGAAGAAAUCAACCGAGAUUCCGGUAGUAGCGGCGAGCGAACCUGGAUUAGCCCUUAAGCACUCGUUGAAGUAGGUGAACAAGCUGGAAAGCUUGGCGAUACAGGGUGAUAGCCCCGUAACCGACGCUUCAUCGAGCGUGAAAUCGAGUAGGGCGGGACACGUGAUAUCCUGUCUGAAUAUGGGGGGACCAUCCUCCAAGGCUAAAUACUCCUGACUGACCGAUAGUGAACCAGUACCGUGAGGGAAAGGCGAAAAGAACCCCUGUGAGGGGAGUGAAAUAGAACCUGAAACCGUGUACGUACAAGCAGUAGGAGCACCUUCGUGGUGUGACUGCGUACCUUUUGUAUAAUGGGUCAGCGACUUAUAUUCAGUGGCAAGGUUAACCGUAUAGGGGAGCCGUAGCGAAAGCGAGUCUUAACUGGGCGCUCAGUCUCUGGAUAUAGACCCGAAACCGGGUGAUCUAGCCAUGGGCAGGUUGAAGGUGAGUAACAUCAACUGGAGGACCGAACCGACUAAUGUUGAAAAAUUAGCGGAUGACUUGUGGCUAGGGGUGAAAGGCCAAUCAAACUCGGAGAUAGCUGGUUCUCCCCGAAAGCUAUUUAGGUAGCGCCUCGGACGAAUACUACUGGGGGUAGAGCACUGUUAAGGCUAGGGGGUCAUCCCGACUUACCAACCCUUUGCAAACUCCGAAUACCAGUAAGUACUAUCCGGGAGACACACGGCGGGUGCUAACGUCCGUCGUGGAGAGGGAAACAACCCAGACCGCCAGCUAAGGUCCCAAAGUAUUGCUAAGUGGGAAACGAUGUGGGAAGGCUCAGACAGCUAGGAUGUUGGCUUAGAAGCAGCCAUCAUUUAAAGAAAGCGUAAUAGCUCACUAGUCGAGUCGGCCUGCGCGGAAGAUGUAACGGGGCUAAGCAAUACACCGAAGCUGCGGCAAUGAAGUUUACUUCAUUGGGUAGGGGAGCGUUCUGUAAGCCGUUGAAGGUGAAUCGUAAGGUUUGCUGGAGGUAUCAGAAGUGCGAAUGCUGACAUGAGUAACGACAAGGGGGGUGAAAAACCUCCCCGCCGGAAGACCAAGGGUUCCUGUCCAACGUUAAUCGGGGCAGGGUGAGUCGACCCCUAAGGUGAGGCCGAAAGGCGUAAUCGAUGGGAAACGGGUUAAUAUUCCCGUACUUCUGACUAUUGCGAUGGGGGGACGGAGAAGGCUAGGUGGGCCAGGCGACGGUUGUCCUGGUUCAAGUGCGUAGGCUUGAGAGUUAGGUAAAUCCGGCUCUCUUUAAGGCUGAGACACGACGUCGAGCUGCUACGGCAGUGAAGUCAUUGAUGCCAUGCUUCCAGGAAAAGCCUCUAAGCUUCAGAUAGUCAGGAAUCGUACCCCAAACCGACACAGGUGGUCGGGUAGAGAAUACCAAGGCGCUUGAGAGAACUCGGGUGAAGGAACUAGGCAAAAUGGUACCGUAACUUCGGGAGAAGGUACGCUCUUGAUGGUGAAGUCCCUCGCGGAUGGAGCUGACGAGAGUCGCAGAUACCAGGUGGCUGCAACUGUUUAUUAAAAACACAGCACUGUGCAAAAUCGCAAGAUGACGUAUACGGUGUGACGCCUGCCCGGUGCCGGAAGGUUAAUUGAUGGGGUUAGCGUAAGCGAAGCUCUUGAUCGAAGCCCCGGUAAACGGCGGCCGUAACUAUAACGGUCCUAAGGUAGCGAAAUUCCUUGUCGGGUAAGUUCCGACCUGCACGAAUGGCGUAAUGAUGGCCACGCUGUCUCCACCCGAGACUCAGUGAAAUUGAAAUCGCUGUGAAGAUGCAGUGUACCCGCGGCUAGACGGAAAGACCCCGUGAACCUUUACUACAGCUUGGCACUGAACAUUGAACCUACAUGUGUAGGAUAGGUGGGAGGCUAUGAAGACGUGACGCCAGUUGCGUUGGAGCCGUCCUUGAAAUACCACCCUUGUAUGUUUGAUGUUCUAACUUAGACCCAUUAUCUGGGUUGAGGACAGUGCCUGGUGGGUAGUUUGACUGGGGCGGUCUCCUCCCAAAGAGUAACGGAGGAGCACGAAGGUGGGCUAAUCACGGUUGGACAUCGUGAGGUUAGUGCAAUGGCAUAAGCCCGCUUAACUGCGAGAAUGACGGUUCGAGCAGGUGCGAAAGCAGGUCAUAGUGAUCCGGUGGUUCUGUAUGGAAGGGCCAUCGCUCAACGGAUAAAAGGUACUCCGGGGAUAACAGGCUGAUACCGCCCAAGAGUUCAUAUCGACGGCGGUGUUUGGCACCUCGAUGUCGGCUCAUCACAUCCUGGGGCUGAAGUCGGUCCCAAGGGUAUGGCUGUUCGCCAUUUAAAGUGGUACGCGAGCUGGGUUUAGAACGUCGUGAGACAGUUCGGUCCCUAUCUGCCGUGGGCGUUGGAAGAUUGAAGGGGGCUGCUCCUAGUACGAGAGGACCGGAGUGGACGAACCUCUGGUGUUCGGGUUGUGUCGCCAGACGCAUUGCCCGGUAGCUAAGUUCGGAAUCGAUAACCGCUGAAAGCAUCUAAGCGGGAAGCGAGCCCUGAGAUGAGUCUUCCCUGACAGUUUAACUGUCCUAAAGGGUUGUUCGAGACUAGAACGUUGAUAGGCAGGGUGUGUAAGCGUUGUGAGGCGUUGAGCUAACCUGUACUAAUUGCCCGUGAGGCUUAACCAU
Molecule: ribosomal RNA, 2887 nt
Filed under: Vibrio metoecus
Lineage: Bacteria; Pseudomonadati; Pseudomonadota; Gammaproteobacteria; Vibrionales; Vibrionaceae
Description: 23S ribosomal RNA
Rfam family: Bacterial large subunit ribosomal RNA
Source: RNAcentral